Molecule: ribosomal RNA, 71 nt
Filed under: Hwanghaeella grinnelliae
Lineage: Bacteria; Pseudomonadati; Pseudomonadota; Alphaproteobacteria; Rhodospirillales; Aestuariispiraceae
Description: Bacterial small subunit ribosomal RNA
Rfam family: Bacterial small subunit ribosomal RNA
Source: Rfam by way of RNAcentral
GAACUUGAGAGUUUGAUCCUGGCUCAGAACGAACGCUGGCGGCAGGCCUAACACAUGCAAGUCGAGCGAGA